GACAGCACAUUUGUUACCAGCAGGCG
This 26-nucleotide non-coding RNA is filed under the name Mus musculus (house mouse). The record is from RNAcentral. Lineage: Eukaryota; Metazoa; Chordata; Mammalia; Rodentia; Muridae.